Molecule: ribosomal RNA, 450 nt
Filed under: uncultured bacterium
Lineage: Bacteria
Description: partial 16S ribosomal RNA
Rfam family: Bacterial small subunit ribosomal RNA
Source: RNAcentral
GUGGGGAAUUUUGGACAAUGGGCGAAAGCCUGAUCCAGCCAUGCCGCGUGCAGGAUGAAGGCCUUCGGGUUGUAAACUGCUUUUGUACGGAACGAAAAGACUCCUUCUAAUAAAGGGGGUCCAUGACGGUACCGUAAGAAUAAGCACCGGCUAACUACGUGCCAGCAGCCGCGGUAAUACGUAGGGUGCAAGCGUUAAUCGGAAUUACUGGGCGUAACGCGUGAGCAGGCGGUUAUAUAAGACAGAUGUGAAAUCCCCGGGCUCAACCUGGGAACUGCAUUUGUGACUGUAUAGCUAGAGUACGGUAGAGGGGGAUGGAAUUCCGCGUGUAGCAGUGAAAUGCGUAGAUAUGCGGAGGAACACCGAUGGCGAAGGCAAUCCCCUGGACCUGUACUGACGCUCAUGCACGAAAGCGUGGGGAGCAAACAGGAUUAGAUACCCCGGUAGUCC